UACGUAGGGAGCAAGCGUUGUCCGGAAUCAUUGGGCGUAAAGCGCGCGUAGGCGGCCUCAUAAGUCCGUUGUGAAAGUCAAAGGCUCAACCUUUGAAAGCCGAUGGAUACUGUGAGGCUAGAGUCCGGAAGAGGCGAGUGGAAUUCCUGGUGUAGCGGUGGAAUGCGCAGAUAUCUGGAGGAACACCGGUGGCGAAGGCGCCCACCUGGCCUGCUACUGACGCUGAAACUCGAAAGCUAGGGGAGCAAACGGG
Molecule: ribosomal RNA, 253 nt
Filed under: uncultured bacterium
Lineage: Bacteria
Description: partial 16S ribosomal RNA
Rfam family: Bacterial small subunit ribosomal RNA
Source: RNAcentral